Molecule: ribosomal RNA, 557 nt
Filed under: Salmonella enterica
Lineage: Bacteria; Pseudomonadati; Pseudomonadota; Gammaproteobacteria; Enterobacterales; Enterobacteriaceae
Description: partial 23S ribosomal RNA
Rfam family: Bacterial large subunit ribosomal RNA
Source: RNAcentral
UGUUCUAACGUGGACCCGUAAUCCGGGUUGCGGACAGUGUCUGGUGGGUAGUUUGACUGGGGCGGUCUCCUCCUAAAGAGUAACGGAGGAGCACGAAGGUUGGCUAAUCCUGGUCGGACAUCAGGAGGUUAGUGCAAUGGCAUAAGCCAGCUUGACUGCGAGCGUGACGGCGCGAGCAGGUGCGAAAGCAGGUCAUAGUGAUCCGGUGGUUCUGAAUGGAAGGGCCAUCGCUCAACGGAUAAAAGGUACUCCGGGGAUAACAGGCUGAUACCGCCCAAGAGUUCAUAUCGACGGCGGUGUUUGGCACCUCGAUGUCGGCUCAUCACAUCCUGGGGCUGAAGUAGGUCCCAAGGGUAUGGCUGUUCGCCAUUUAAAGUGGUACGCGAGCUGGGUUUAGAACGUCGUGAGACAGUUCGGUCCCUAUCUGCCGUGGGCGCUGGAGAACUGAGGGGGGCUGCUCCUAGUACGAGAGGACCGGAGUGGACGCAUCACUGGUGUUCGGGUUGUCAUGCCAAUGGCACUGCCCGGUAGCUAAAUGCGGAAGAGAUAAGUGCUGA